This 21-nucleotide small nuclear RNA is filed under the name Arabidopsis thaliana (thale cress). RNAcentral's name for it is "snRNA_12433". Lineage: Eukaryota; Viridiplantae; Streptophyta; Magnoliopsida; Brassicales; Brassicaceae. The record is from RNAcentral.
CUCGCCAAAAAGGCAAGAGCA